CUCAUCAUCUCUCUCGCCUGCUGUCUCCUCUCUCUCUCUAUCGAUUCUUGAAUGGAAUCAUAGAAAUUGUUGGAAAAAUCAAGUUCUAUGAGAGGAUUUUGAGUAAUUAAGUUUAGGUUGAAGGAUUGGGAGAUUAGAGAAGAAAGCCCCUAAUUGAUUCUUCAGAGAAAGGGGCUGCAAGAAGGUUUUAUCAAUGGAGUCUUGACGAUCCGAAAGUAUUGUUGGGAAACUUGAGAAGCAAGCUUCCCGAUGGUGAAGUAUUUCGCCGGCGGAGGUCACCGGUGGUCGGAAGACGGCAAGAAGUGCAGCCUGCCCCUGAACUUUAGGAGUCGAUUUGAGUUAUGUCGGCAAAAUUCAGAGAAAUGAAGAACUGCUGCCGCACCUGUUUUCGGAGCAGAAUUUGGAGGGUUUGGAGUGCAAAUUUGGGAAUCAUUCCUUGACGAAACUCGUAGAGGACCUCGAAAACUAUUGGUAUCGAGCGUACUGACUUGAGCAUGACUCGAGAGUAAGGUGUUUUUAUAGCACUUGCAUUGGACUUCAGUAACAGGUGCAUUAGUGGACGAUAUUGUUGAUGGCUCUUAGGAGUAGAAGUUAUUCAGAGAUUUUAGAGAGUUUAAUCUAGUGUUGUGUUUAAGAAUGAUUGUAAUUCGAGAACUAUGAAUACGAGAUUAGUUGUGGCAUUUGGUUGUCACGUGUAUUUGAUAUUAUUGUUCAGAAAUUAAGUAGGAAACAUUGUAUUUA
Non-coding RNA from Erythranthe guttata (spotted monkey flower), 741 nucleotides. NCBI's taxonomy places the organism in Eukaryota, Viridiplantae, Streptophyta, Magnoliopsida, Lamiales, Phrymaceae. The record is from RefSeq and is a predicted model, not a curated record.